GGUGACGCAGGCGUAAUAAUAGAGAAGGUGCCAGAAAGAUCCAAAACAAGUGGCUGCGGCCGUCGCCCAGGAGUCACCGGACGCCAGAAUCUGUGUCUCCAGAACGCUAUAGCUAUGGCACCUCCAGCUCUUCAAAGAGGACAGAGGGUAGCUGCCGUCGCCGUCGGCAGUCAAGCAGUUCUGCAAAUUCUCAGCAGGGUCAGUGGGAGACAGGCUCCCCCCCAACCAAGCGGCAGCGGCGGAGUCGGGGCCGGCCCAGUGGUGGUGCCAGACGGCGGCGGAGAGGGGCCCCAGCCGCACCCCAGCAGCAGCCAGAGCCCGCCAGACCUUCCUCUGAAGGCAAAGUGACCUGUGGCUGUACAAGAAGCAGGGUGCCAGCAUCUGCUUCUGUUGAGGACCUCCGGAAGCUUCCAUUCAUGGUGGAAGGCCAAGGGGAGCAGGCUUGUCACAUGACAUCCGGCUCCGGGUUCGAGCAGAGUACUGCGAGCAUGGGCCAGCCUUGGAGCAGGGCGUGGCAUCCCGGCGGCCCCAGGCGCUGGCGCGGCAGCUGGACGUGUUUGGGCAGGCCACCGCAGUGCUGCGCUCAAGGGACCUGGGCUCCGUGGUUUGUGACAUCAAGUUCUCAGAGCUCUCCUAUCUGGACGCCUUCUGGGGCGACUACCUGAGUGGCGCCCUGCUGCAGGCCCUGCGGGGCGUGUUCCUGACUGAGGCCCUG
Molecule: small RNA, 715 nt
Filed under: Pan troglodytes (chimpanzee)
Lineage: Eukaryota; Metazoa; Chordata; Mammalia; Primates; Hominidae
Description: processed transcript
Source: RNAcentral